RNAcentral lists this ribosomal RNA (253 nucleotides) under uncultured bacterium. Its description in RNAcentral is "partial 16S ribosomal RNA". It matches the Rfam family "Bacterial small subunit ribosomal RNA", at positions 524 to 776 of the family's 1533-position model. The record is from RNAcentral.
UACGUAGGGUGCGAGCGUUGUCCGGAUUUAUUGGGCGUAAAGAGCUCGUAGGCGGUUUGUCGCGUCUGCUGUGAAAACGCGAGGCUCAACCUCGCGCCUGCAGUGGGUACGGGCAGACUAGAGUGCGGUAGGGGAGAUUGGAAUUCCUGGUGUAGCGGUGGAAUGCGCAGAUAUCAGGAGGAACACCGAUGGCGAAGGCAGAUCUCUGGGCCGUAACUGACGCUGAGGAGCGAAAGCGUGGGGAGCGAACAGG